UACGGAGGGGGCUAGCGUUGUUCGGAAUUACUGGGCGUAAGGCGCGCGUAGGCGGACCUGCAAGUCGGGGGUGAAAGCCCGAGGCUCAACCUCGGAACUGCCUUCGAUACUGCGGGUCUCGAGUCCGGGAGAGGUGAGUGGAAUUCCUAGUGUAGAGGUGAAAUUCGUAGAUAUUAGGAAGAACACCAGUGGCGAAGGCGGCUCACUGGCCCGGUACUGACGCUGAGGCGCGAAAGCGUGGGGAGCAAACAGG
RNAcentral lists this ribosomal RNA (253 nucleotides) under uncultured bacterium. RNAcentral's name for it is "partial 16S ribosomal RNA". It matches the Rfam family "Bacterial small subunit ribosomal RNA", at positions 524 to 776 of the family's 1533-position model. The record is from RNAcentral.